Molecule: long non-coding RNA, 2235 nt
Organism: Lagenorhynchus albirostris (white-beaked dolphin)
Lineage: Eukaryota; Metazoa; Chordata; Mammalia; Artiodactyla; Delphinidae
Exons: 3
Source: RefSeq, a predicted model, not a curated record
UCCUUCUAGAUUUUCUCUUGCCAAGUUUAGCUACCUCAUAAAUGAUUUUCUGUCCCAAGCUGCCGUUAGAGUUCAUAGGAAAGGUAACAUUUAAAAAUCACAAUUGUUGGAGUCAGAUGAAAAUAUUGCUUGUGAUAGAUAGGCAUGUGUGGUUUUAUGGGGUUGGAUAGGAAGUCCUAUGUGCUUAUUCCCCAUUAGAUGGGGUUCUCGAAUGAUAAACUUGCCCUUAAAUUUUGGAAUCAUUAACAAAUAUUUCUGCACAAUGAUCAAAGCUUAAAUGGAGGUUAAGAUAAAGAAUACAGAGUACAGAAUAGGUACUUAAAAGUCAGCUCAUACAUUCAUUUAUAAUUUAUACUGUGUCUAUCCAGAAAGAGUUGGAUGUGGUUUAUAAUAAAAGACGGACAUGGGACACAACCUUUAGAAUUAGGGCAAGAAGACAGGAGCUAAAUAAAGAGAAGAGCAAUUCCUAACCUAUGGGCUACUACAGGUUUUGAACAAUACUUCUACAUGAAGAUGCAACAGGUUACAUAGUUCUUAUUAAAUAACAAGAAUGAUGUUAUUAGAUACAAACCUUUUAUUAGUCUCAAUUUUAAGACAAGGUGGAUUUUUAAAAAUGUGAAACAACAAGUUUUGAAUUAAUAGUACUUGAAACUUGAUCCAAAAUGGUGAGAGAGGUAAGCUCUGCAAAUGGAAGAAAUAAAGCAGGGAAUUUCCCAUUGGCUAUCCACCUUUUGGCUUUUAUAUGAGACACUUUUUUUGGUUUGUUUUGUUAUUAGUGAUUAAAGUGUUUCAAAUACCUAUGCAUAUUCAAGAAUUAUUAGAAGCAUUAAUGAAUUACCACAGGAGAAAAAAAAUCAAUUCCCUUCAGAUGCAAAUAUCACUGAGAAAAUGAGCUCUUUUUACCUUUUUCUUUUCUAGUUGCAGGUAAUGAAAUAAAAGAGAUGUCUUGUAUUCAAUGUUUCAUGUCAGGAAGAAUAUGGGUUUUAAUGAAUCUCAGUCCUUAGGAAGAUAAUAUGCUCCAGUAUUUCAUCUCCAGUGGUCCAGGGAAGGUAUUGCUUAAGUCAUAAGUAAAACAAGCUUCACACUGGUGCCCGACUGGGAAUUUGCUGGGAGAGUAUUUUAUCUACACCAGAUUUGCUAAGCACUAACUGCCCAAACAUGAGAUCUACUCAUCUUGAUUCCUCUCUUUCAUUAACAGCCCACAGCCAAUCCACUUGAAAAAUCAUCAUAGAUCGCUCUUUAAAGUUCAUCCAGAAUCUGACUACUACUUAGCACCUCCUCUGCUACCAUGCUGGCCAUGCAACCAUCUUCUGCCUUGACUACAGCCAUAUCUCCCCAACUGGCCUUUCUGCUUCCACAAUUUCUGCACAUGGAAUAUUCUGCAUACAGCAGCCGGACUGAUUGAUUGAAACGGACCUUCAAGAUGGCAGAGGAGUAAGAUGUGGAGAUCAACUUCCUCCCCAUAAAUACAUCAAAAAUACAUCUACAUGUGGAACAACUCCUACAGAACCCCUACUGAACGCUGGCAGAAGACCUCAGACCUCCCAAAAGAAGGCAGAGCACCAACUAAAUGAGCUCCAGAGACGGCGUGAGCCACGGCUACCAGUGCGGACCCCAGAGACGGGCAUGAGACACUAAGGCUGCUGCUGCCGCCACCAAGAAGCCUGUGUGCGAGCACAGGUCACUAUCCACACCCCCCUUCCGGGAGCCUGUGCAGCCCGCCACUGCCAGGGUCCCGGGAUCCAGGGACAACUUCCCCAGGAGAAUGCACGGCGCACCUCAGGCUGGUGCAACGUCACGCCAGCCUCUGCCGCCUCAGACUUGCCCUGCAUCCAUACCCCUCCCUCUCUACGGCCUGAGUGAGCCAGAGCCCCCGAAUCAGCUGCUCCUUUAACCCCGUCCUGUCUGAGAGAAGAACAGACGCCCUCCAGUGACCUACACGCAGAGGCGGGGCCAAAUCCAAAGCUGAGCCCCGGGAGCUGUGAGAACAAAGAAGAGAAAGGGAAAUCUCUCCCAGCAGCCUCAGGAGCAGCAGAUUAAAGCUCCACAAUCAACUUGAUGUAACCUGCAUCUGUGGAAUACCUCAAUAGACAACGAAUCAUACCAAAUUGAGGAGGGGGACUUUGGGAGCAACUGUAGACUUGGGGUUUGCUUUCUGCAUCUAAUUUGUUUCUGGUUUUAUGUGUAUCUUAGUUUAAUAUUUAGUGCUUAUUAUCAUUGGUGGAUUUGUUUAUU